UAAAUAAACAUUAAAAAAAAGAGAGAGAGAGAGUCCUAAGUCAGACCCUCUUGAAACUCCACCUAUUCAGAAGUCUCAACCGUAUGACGCUUAGCAGUAAGAUUCUGUUCACAGGACAAUCGCCUCUGUUUCAAUAAUGAUUUCUUCCAGGUUGUAUUGGACUGCCUGAGUGAAGUUCUAAGAAUCUUGGGAAAGAUCCUAGUUGUUGAGCUUAGAAUUUGGAUUUCUAAGCACUACGUACAUCCAUCCUGUCAUUACGCAGAGACUUACGAAGUAUUUACGACUAGAAACUAUGGGUGUCUGUUUGGAGCUGGAAGCAGAGAGAUGGGAGCAAAAGGUAGAACCAAAUUGCCGUACAGCCAAUUAGUUAUGCGGUGAAAAUGUUUGCAGCGAAAUGCUUUGGGACAGUGAUGUCUAUUGUGGAGAUGGUCACAGUAGAAACACCAGACAUGAUCUUCAUCAUCCACACACUCUGGAAUCCUCACCACUACUCCGGAUAUGUUCUUUCCAAGGUUAUAAGACUCAGUCCACACUGCCAAAUCGAAUAGUUAUUUUUUGGCCCUCAUCCUGCUCCACCUUUCAGCAUCCCGCCCUGCUUUCCACACGCUUGUUCGUGACAUUUUCUGUAGUGUCUCCAGCCUCUCAUUCUCCAGUUCCUUUUCCUUUAGUGCCUCAAUGAUUUAAUGCCUCAGAGCUCGGCCUGGCAUUUCCUUUCCCAACUCCCUGUUCAUUCCUAUGACCUUAAAUAUAUAUUAAAAAUGCACAAAUAUAUAUCCCAGUCCAACCUUC
Leopardus geoffroyi (Geoffroy's cat) is the source of this 789-nucleotide long non-coding RNA. RefSeq lists it as uncharacterized. The transcript has 2 exons. NCBI's taxonomy places the organism in Eukaryota, Metazoa, Chordata, Mammalia, Carnivora, Felidae. The record is from RefSeq and is a predicted model, not a curated record.